Erinaceus europaeus (western European hedgehog) is the source of this 303-nucleotide unclassified non-coding RNA. Its record names the gene 7SK. It matches the Rfam family "7SK RNA". Rfam says of the family: 7SK was discovered as an abundant small nuclear RNA in the mid-70s but a possible function has only recently been suggested. Two independent studies have found that 7SK RNA binds the CDK9/cyclin T complex (known as elongation factor P-TEFb). Lineage: Eukaryota; Metazoa; Chordata; Mammalia; Eulipotyphla; Erinaceidae. The record is from Ensembl.
AGAUGUGAAGGUGAUUUGCCUGUGACAUGUCACCCCAUUGAUUGCCAGGAUUAAUUCAGCUGAUCUGAAUGAUUAGGCAGGUGUCCCCUUCCUCCUUAUGUCUCCAUAUGCAUCCCUCCUAAAACUGCACUCAAGCAAAAGAAGACGACCUUCCUGAACAGAAAUGGACAAGUCUUCAUUUGACCAUAUAUACGCAAGUAGCUGUGCUUUCCUGCUCAAACUCCCAAACAAGCUCUCAAGAAAGCUCUGUAACUAAAUUAUAGAACUUCCUUAUAGGUCUUCAGGAUAAUUCUUAGUGUUCCU